CGGUUGAUUUUGGAUGGUAGACU
This 23-nucleotide microRNA is filed under the name Panagrellus redivivus. Its description in RNAcentral is "prd-miR-7877-5p". The record is from miRBase by way of RNAcentral. Lineage: Eukaryota; Metazoa; Nematoda; Chromadorea; Rhabditida; Panagrolaimidae.